CACCAGCUCUCACAAGGAGAGGAUGAAGACUUUUGCCAACUCCCCACAGUAGAAGGAUGGACAACCUAUGAAGCAGUCAGUCCACAGGAAUGGAAACUGCUUGGUUGGAUCGGAGCCGUGGGAAAACAACAUGUUGCUGAAGGAGAUAUGUUGCCUGGAGAGAUAUAUUGCCGGAGGAGAUAUGUUACUGGAGGGGAUAUGUUACUGGAGGGGAUACUUAAAGGAAGUAUCUAGCCAAAGGAGGUAUCUAGCCAAAGUAGGUAUCUAGCCAAAGGAGGUAUCUAGCCAAAGGAGGUAUCCAGCCAAAAAGAGGAAAACCUUUAGUUUAGUUUAGUUUAGUUUAGUAUUUGUUUCACUUUCAAUAUAAAUGUUCAACUA
Molecule: long non-coding RNA, 378 nt
Organism: Eurytemora carolleeae
Lineage: Eukaryota; Metazoa; Arthropoda; Copepoda; Calanoida; Temoridae
Exons: 2
Source: RefSeq, a predicted model, not a curated record